GUUUUCACCACAUUCACUCGUUAUAGAUCAAACAAAAUGGCCAAUCGAAUGAAAGAAUGGAAACUAGACUGUAAAGUGUACAUUGGUGAUCUUGGUUAUGGUGCAGCAAAACAAGAACUGGAAGACUUGUUUUCCAGGUACGGCCCCAUUAGGAAUGUGUGGGUAGCCAGAAACCCACCAGGUUUUGCCUUUGUAGAGUUUCAGGACCCAAGAGACGCUGAAGAUGCAACAAAAGCUCUUGAUGGCACGAGGAUAAAUGGCAGGAGAGUUAGAGUAGAAAUGUCAUCAGGAAAAUCUCGCUGGGGCUCUAGAGGACCACCCACACGUCGUGGAGGCGGUGGUGGGAGGAGCUACAGAGAUGAAAGACGCAGAUCAAGGCUAGCCCUUUAUCCCCCCAGCCAGUCGGCGUCAUCGUUUCUUUCCCCUGGUCAACGUCUGCCCUAAUCAACAUUGCUGAUCAACUUGAUCAACAUCCCACUGUUCUAUCAGCUGAUAUCAACCUGCAGCUGUUUUAUCAGCACUACAACACAACGCCCAUCAGCGUCAACAACAGUACUAAGACUUUAAACGGGGAACAAUAUCUUCUCACCUAGAUCAUCUAAAAUUAAGUCAUGUUCAGACAUUUUCAACGUAUUUUAGAUCUUGGUUUUGGACACUGAAAUUGGUGAAAAUAGUGCAAAAUUUUAUUUGAGUGGAUUUUGAAUUCUGGUAAAAAAUAUCUAACAGUGUUAAAGAACCUAAAAAAAAAAGAAUAGAAACAAAAUAAGCCUUAGAUAUUUAUUUUAGAGUGCUGUCCCAAAAUCUGAGUAAUUUUUCAGUCAGAUCCUUUAGAACUAUAAGCAUUUCAGAUAUACAAAGACAUUUUACUAAAGAAUCAAAUUAACAGUUAAAUUUUGUAGGAGCUUUGUUGAAUUGUCUGAACAGCCCAAAUUUUUUCACACCUUCAAUUUUCCAACGCCUUUCUUCGAUACAUACACAUCACGUUAGUUUCCCUAUUCUCCGUGGGUCAGCAUCAGCAUUUCAACUUUAUCACCUCUUAUCGUCAGGACGGCAGCUUGACAAUGAUCUUUUUCACCGAGACGAAGAAGUCCCUCCCCGAGAAGACGAAGCAGGAGCAGAAGUCGCUCUAGGUCACCAUCUUACAGAAGGUCCAGGUCUCCUUAUGACAGACGAUAGGAACAACUUCAGACA
Molecule: RNA transcript, 1191 nt
Organism: Saccostrea echinata
Lineage: Eukaryota; Metazoa; Mollusca; Bivalvia; Ostreida; Ostreidae
Gene name: serine/arginine-rich splicing factor 3-like
Exons: 5
Source: RefSeq, a predicted model, not a curated record